GAUGAACGCUGGCGGCGUGCUUAACACAUGCAAGUCGAACGAUGAAGCCCAGCUUGCUGGGUGGAUUAGUGGCGAACGGGUGAGUAACACGUGAGUAACCUGCCCUUAACUCUGGGAUAAGCCUGGGAAACUGGGUCUAAUACCGGAUAGGAGCGUCCACCGCAUGGUGGGUGUUGGAAAGAUUUAUCGGUUUUGGAUGGACUCGCGGCCUAUCAGCUUGUUGGUGAGGUAAUGGCUCACCAAGGCGACGACGGGUAGCCGGCCUGAGAGGGUGACCGGCCAAACGGGGAUGGAGAACGGGCCCAGACCCCGAGGGGGGGCAGGGGUGGGGAAUUUGGCACAAGGGGGGAAAGCCGGAUGGGGGGGCGCCGGGGGGGGGAGGACGGCCUUCGGGUUGAAAACCCUUUUCAGUGGGGAAGAAGGGAAAGGGGCGGUACCGGCAAAAGAAGCCCCGGCAAACUAGGG
This 465-nucleotide ribosomal RNA is filed under the name uncultured bacterium. Its description in RNAcentral is "partial 16S ribosomal RNA". It matches the Rfam family "Bacterial small subunit ribosomal RNA", at positions 28 to 506 of the family's 1533-position model. The record is from RNAcentral.